This is a long non-coding RNA of Rosa chinensis, 618 nucleotides long. RefSeq lists it as uncharacterized. The record is from RefSeq and is a predicted model, not a curated record. Lineage: Eukaryota; Viridiplantae; Streptophyta; Magnoliopsida; Rosales; Rosaceae. The transcript has 3 exons.
AUUAAUAAAGCGAAGAGGGUGUUACUGUUCAUCUUUGGGGAAACUUUCGAACUUCCCAUUUUGCCCUUGAUAUUGCCCAUGAUUUACAGAGAAAAUAGAGACUUAGAAAGAGAUGGAUGGUUCUGGGGUUUGCCGACACAGAGGGGACGUGGCUAUCGAUGAGGAAACAAGAAGAAAUUCAGAGGAAGAAAGAAAAUGGGAGAAAGGAAGAAACAGAAGAAAAGAAAUGAAGAAGAAGAAGAGGGAGACGGGAAAAGGCAGAGAAGAGAAAGUGAACGAGAGAAGGAGAAAUCGUAACGUCAAAUGAUGUCAAAAUGGCAUGGUUAAGUUUCUGAUAGGUUACAUAUUUUAAGUAGGCAUUCAGAUCAAUGUUAAUAGGUCUUUAUCGGAUACAUUUCCAAUCUAAUUCUUCAGUUAUUUAUGAAAAUGGUAGCUUUUUGUGAUUGAGGUUGAAGAUGCCUGAUUAUUAACCACUGACAUAAAUGAACAAUUGACAAGUCCUUCCGCACGCGCGAAGCGCGUGUAGGAAGGCUAGUUAGUCAUAAAAAGAAUAGUUACACCUAAUAGUCAUAUGUAUGUGAUUAGCAAAGGGUCAAUGUAAAGACAUCCGAUUAAGCA